AUGUGAUCGUCUCUCGCAUAUCAAUAAGCGGAGGAAAAGAAACUAACAAGGAUUCCCCUAGUAACGGCGAGUGAAGCGGGAAGAGCUCAAAUUUGAAAUCUUAAAGGGUUUCCCUUUACGAAUUGUAGUUUAAAGAAGUGUUUUCUGUUGAGGUUUUGGUAAAAGUUCUUUGGAAUAGGACAUCAUAGAGGGUGAGAAUCCCGUAUUUGACCUUUACUUUCAACUUUGUGAUACACUUUCAAAGAGUCGGAUUGUUUGGGAAUGCAGUCCAAAAUGGGUGGUAAAUUUCAUCUAAAGCUAAAUAUUGGCGAGAGACCGAUAGCGAACAAGUACCGUGAGGGAAAGAUGAAAAGAACUUUGAAAAGAGAGUUAAACAGUACGUGAAAUUGUCAAAAGGGAAGCGUUUGACACCAGUGUUGUUUUUCUGAAAAUCAAUUAAAGAACUGUUUAUGCUAAGUUGUUUAGACUUUAUCAGCUAUCUGUUUAGUUUUGAGCUUUUCCUUAAUGCACUUCUCAGUUAACAAGUCAACAUCAAUUUCUUUUGCUGUAAAAAAGCUUGAGGAAGGUGGCUUGAGAUUCGUCUUAAGUGUUUAUAGCCUCUUGCCUAUGCAGUCGGAGAGAUUGAGGUCUGCAGCGUAGAUCCUUCGGGGCUAAAUGCAUUUGUGCUAAGUUAUAGCAUUUUAUAGACAACUUGUUGACUAUGAUUUGUCUUGUAGCUUACUCGCUUAUGUUAUUUUACCUACGCUUAGGAUGUUGAUCUACAGAGCGAGAGU
This 773-nucleotide ribosomal RNA is filed under the name uncultured Neocallimastigales. Its description in RNAcentral is "partial large subunit ribosomal RNA". It matches the Rfam family "Eukaryotic large subunit ribosomal RNA", at positions 24 to 634 of the family's 3401-position model. The record is from RNAcentral. Lineage: Eukaryota; Fungi; Neocallimastigomycota; Neocallimastigomycetes; Neocallimastigales.